AAGCUUGUCGAAACCCUAGCUAGCGCGAGGGCGGCGGAAGCGGCGGCGGCGCGGCGCGGAGGCGGUGGCGAGGGCACGCAGCGGGAAGGCGGCGGCGAGGAUGCGCGCGCAGCGAGGAGGCGGCGGCCUCGGGCCCGCGGUGCGCGACAGUGCGAGGCGGCAGCGGCCGAGAGCGUGCGCCGACGCCUUCUCCCAGGAUGGUGGCUGUCGCGUCGAGGGCCAGCCGGCGCCCGCUCUCAGGAGGUCCACAACCAGCGAUCGCGACUCUUCCAUGCAAAGCCCCGUGAGAUCUCCGGCCACCGCCGCCACUGCCAUGGACGCCGUCGACUCGGUGGUCGACUCGCUGCGCGAGUUCGCCAAGGACAGCAUCUGCCUCGUCAAGCACUGCCACAAGCCCGACCGCAAAGAGUUCACCAAGGUGGUGGCGUGUAUGCUGCAGAAGUAUCAGACGCAUUGAGAGCCUUAUCAGACACGGCUCGAGAGCCUUAAACUUACUGUG
This 499-nucleotide long non-coding RNA is filed under the name Oryza sativa aus subgroup. Its description in RNAcentral is "lncRNA OsNaBo_03g0021870". Lineage: Eukaryota; Viridiplantae; Streptophyta; Magnoliopsida; Poales; Poaceae. The record is from RNAcentral.